ACACACUUGUUACUUGGAAGUGUGAUGUAAGGCUCAGCACCACCCUCUUUAUUUGGUAUAAAUACGAGAGCACGAAGCUUCUGUCUCAUCCACAAACUUGCAUCCUUCACAAGACGUCUUUUAAAGAAGGCAUUUUUGCUACCUGCUUCUUCAGUUACUUGUUAAGAACAAGAUGACCAGUAUAUGUGAAGUUGGUGGAACGGGAGGAAACCCUUUCAAUUUUAAUGGCAUUGAAACUGGAACCUUGUUGAAAAGGAUCCAGGUUUGGGAAGGUGAUUCUCAGAUAAAAGCCGUGAUGGUGUGGCUUACUGAUGACCGGUCAGGACAGUUUGGUGUUAUGGCUGGGAGUCAGCGGGAGUUUACAUUUGAAAAAGAUGAGAUAUUCGCCUCCCUUUCACUUUGGCCGAGUCAAGAUGGUACACAUCUCGGUGCCAUCAAAUUCAAGACAAGUAUUGGGAAUCAGUUCUAUGCAAGCAUGAAAAGUGGUACGCUGCAAGCAGAAGUAAAAGUUGAUGUUGCCACUGGGAAAUGCAUUGGAAUCCAAGGACGUUCUGGGGCUGCCAUUAAUUCCUUCGGCUUCAUCAUGGUCAAGAAGCCAUCUGCUUAGCUUACCAAUGUGGUGCAUCCCACCGUUUCUAUAGUCUCACCCAAAGUGACUAAUCACCCAAAUCUCAUAUAUUAAAUCAUUUGAAUCAGUAAUGUUUGUGUUUGAGGUUAUCUUAGUUUGAUUGUUUUUCAUAUUAGCUUUUCAUUAAUCAUGAUUCUUUUGUUUGAUUUUUUUCUCCAAACCUGUUAACCAAUAAAAAAAGUGAUUUGAUUUAUUUUGUUGGUUCAGACAAUUUAUUCUGCUAGUCUACCAGUGGUGAAAGACUAAGACACAGUUUAGUUUAAGGAAACAUUCUUUACAAAUAAUUCUGAGUAAUGAACAAAACAUCUCAUUUGGUGAUUUUUAGAUCUAGUUCGACUGUAGCUUUGUGUAACAAUUUGAUUAUUUUCUUUUGAAAUUUUCAGAUUAUAAUCUGUUAUAAUUUCCAUCAAUAAAAACAGUCUCAAUUGAAA
Tachysurus vachellii is the source of this 1059-nucleotide long non-coding RNA. RefSeq lists it as uncharacterized. The transcript has 2 exons. Lineage: Eukaryota; Metazoa; Chordata; Actinopteri; Siluriformes; Bagridae. The record is from RefSeq and is a predicted model, not a curated record.